AUAUUAUUUUUAUGUCUUUCCUAUAUGUCUUUAGAUUAUUGUUGUAUAUUUGUUAAAACUUUUCUCAUUUUGACCAGUAUCGAAAUGUUACAACUUUGCUUAGCCGUGAUUGCAGUGUUCAAAGGAGGCACCAAAAGACUUCUUUUGAAAAGAAAUCUACUCUGGCUAAGGACGAGGCUGAACUUUCAAUAUUG
This is a non-coding RNA of Arachis ipaensis, 194 nucleotides long. The record is from RefSeq and is a predicted model, not a curated record. Lineage: Eukaryota; Viridiplantae; Streptophyta; Magnoliopsida; Fabales; Fabaceae.